This is a long non-coding RNA of Gadus macrocephalus (Pacific cod), 2819 nucleotides long. RefSeq lists it as uncharacterized. The record is from RefSeq and is a predicted model, not a curated record. Lineage: Eukaryota; Metazoa; Chordata; Actinopteri; Gadiformes; Gadidae. The transcript has 4 exons.
UCAAACUAAAACCGAAACUAUGAGUCCAGGUUCCCGGGGAUCAGCGGGACGGAGAGUGUCGCCCGGCCUCGGCCCUGUCUCUCCCGCGGUCGCUCCGGAGGGCCAGCGGUCCCAAAGUAGACCGGCUGGCCUCAGGUAAAAAUAAAAAAAAUACUUUAUUAUAAAGUUCUUCACACUCGGGGGAUCCUGACCAAUCUGCUGGCUCAUGUUUAUUCAUGAGCUCUGCCAGACGACUUCCGGAAGGAUUCGGUAAAAGUAACAAGUUUCAAAUCUAUGUGAGUGUCAUUCAAGUUUUCCAAAGCAAUGUAGUUCACUGAUUUCGCACAUAUAGAAAAAUUUCCCCACCAGAAUAUGAAAAAUAUGCAAAUUCAUGUGAAUGUCCAAAAUGUUCCAUGAAAUUUGAACCACCUUCUACAGUUUCAUUGGAGAAAGUGGAUUCCCGGGCGACCCCUCUCUCUCCGAGACCUCCAUGAGGUCAUCCGUAUCAACCUUGUUGAAUUUAUGACUAUGUUUAAAUGACUUUUUCUCAGAAUGUCUACCUCCACUAAUAUUUCCUCCAGAUAUUGCAUAUUGCCAAAGGAGCAUGGCAUCAAAUGCGUGGCUCUACAGCGCCCUCUGGUGGGGGGAUUCUAGCAUCGCUAGAUGCUGUAAGGGAAAUAAUACGGAGGAUUGCAGCACUCUCCUGUUUCUCGGACAGGGCCGGGUUUGGUUGCUCAGACGGAGCUUCACCUUCCAUACACACCUUGGCGUUAUACUGCCAUCUUCCCUUCAAAAGGCGAUCGCGCAUCUACAUUGCAUUGUACGGUAAUGCUCUUUUGCACUGGCGCGGUCAGGUGUGCCUCGUAAACUCAGAAAUAUGCACGUCUCGAAUGGACACGAACGUUUUGAAUUUCUUAUUUUCCUUUGUUGAAAUACAUACUUAGGUUUUAUCAAUUAUGCAUGCAUUGCUAUAGUAGGCAGGUAUAGGAAUACCAUAUUCUUGUUAUUUGUUAACAUGUCCCCAGGUACCUCUGCGUUGUUUUUCAAGUUGUUCUACUGUUUGACGUUUUAAUAAUUAGGGCCUGGAUGCUAAAGUCAUCCCUAAUGCACGUCUGUUACUAUACAGGCAGAAACAACUGUUAUAUAAUGUGUUCCACUUCUAACCCUUACCAUUGAAUAAUGUCUUCUAACGCUAACUCUAACCAAACAUAACAUGGAGAUAAUUAUCAUUUUGUUACUAAGUGCCAACGUCAUGACUGACCUUUGGAGCUUAAUAAAAUAAAGUAUUUCUGUAGUCUUGCACUGACACAAGGUGGCAGCAAAAUGCAAAAAACAACAAGAUCGAAUAGUUGGUCAUCAUGAGAGGAGGAAGAGGAGACAGUGACGGCAGGAAGAGGAGAGAGUGACGGGAGGAAGAGGAGAUAACAACAAGGGAGGAGGAGGAGAAAACGACGGGAGGAAGAGGAGAGAACACAGAGGGAGGAGGAAGAGGAGAGUGGAAGGGGAACAGGAGGGGACACUAGGGGAGAAGGAGGAGGAGGAAUGAGGAGGUGAUUAUGACCCGAGAUGCUUUUAUCACCCAACAGAGGUGGAGAGGGAGAAAGGUCUGGAGAUGGAGCCCUCUGAGCAGUUGAGUGAUUCUCAGGGGUAAUCUGGAAGGGAAAGCAGCUGGUCACCUGCUCUUAACCUUCAUGUCUCCUGCUCCUUUCAUCUCUCCAUUACUGCGCGUCCUUCCUCCUCCUUCACUGCCUUUCUUCUUAGCUUCUGCAACUUCUCAGCUUCCAGUCGCAACACGCACACGCACACACACACACACACACACACACACACACACACACACACACACACACACACACACACACACACACACAACACACCCCUAUUGUAUGUUGGUAGCAUGUUAGUGUUGUCAUGGGCCUCAGGUGGCAGGUGAGCUGCUCUUGGCAUCUUCAAUGUUCCCCUCAAGUGCACACACACACACACACACACACACACACACACACACACACACACACACACACACACACACACACACACACACACACACACACACACACACACACUGACACAAACACACACACACACUGAGACACACACACACACACACACACACACACACACACACACUGAGACACACACUGAGACACACACACACACACUGACACACACACACACUCACUGACAUACACACACUGACCCACACGCACGCACACAAUCUCACUGACAUACAAACAUUCACUGACACACACAUACACAUAAACACUCAAUGAAUAUAUGUAUAUAUGUCUCAUUAAGACAUUUUGAGACUUUCAAAUGUUUUUAAGACAUUCUCAUUUUGAAUUAAAAAUACUACAGAUAAACCUGAAAUGCCAGUUUGCAGUUUACAAAAAACACUUUGCAGAGGAAGAUUCUACCAAACACGUAUAGUAAUCAAUAAACGAUUUGAAGAAACCGAAAUGAAACCGAAUGUUUUUCUUAGUCUGGACAAAAGCACCGCGACACACAGGGUGUGAGGUCGAUUAUGGGUGUUUGGAUGGCUCAUUUUGCCCAGACAGUUUCUAAAAUGAUGAAUGCUGUUUAUGUGUCCUGUUCACUGAUCCAGGACAGGAAUGCCAGCCACGCCAGACUGACAGCGGAAACACAUGACUGGCUCUGGAGUGUUGCACUUCCUCACUGACCCUAACCCUGGUAUCGACUAGCAGGUGGAAACCCAACUCGCAGGACCUCUGAUACGCUCCAACACACUUUCUCUCUCUCUCUCUCUCUCUCUCUCUCUCUCUCUCUCUCUCUCUCUCUCUCUCUCUCUCUCUCUCUCUCUCUCCUACCUCUCUGCUAAGCAC